AGCAGUCGCCGCGGGAAAACGAAGGGGGCUAGCGUUGCUCGGAAUUACUGGGCGUAAAGGGAGCGUAGGCGGACAUUUAAGUCAGGGGUGAAAUCCCAGAGCUCAACUCUGGAACUGCCUUUGAUACUGGGUGUCUUGAGUGUGAUAGAGGUAUGUGGAACUCCGAGUGUAGAGGUGAAAUUCGUAGAUAUUCGGAAGAACACCAGUGGCGAAGGCGGCUUACUGGCUCAUACUGGACGCUGAGGUGCGAAAGCGUGGGGAGCAAACAGGAUUAGAUACCCCAGUAGUCCCUGUCUCUUAUAA
RNAcentral lists this ribosomal RNA (303 nucleotides) under uncultured bacterium. RNAcentral describes it as "partial 16S ribosomal RNA". It matches the Rfam family "Bacterial small subunit ribosomal RNA", at positions 507 to 809 of the family's 1533-position model. The record is from RNAcentral.